This 2552-nucleotide ribosomal RNA is filed under the name Escherichia coli. RNAcentral's name for it is "partial 23S ribosomal RNA". It matches the Rfam family "Bacterial large subunit ribosomal RNA", at positions 104 to 2682 of the family's 2925-position model. Lineage: Bacteria; Pseudomonadati; Pseudomonadota; Gammaproteobacteria; Enterobacterales; Enterobacteriaceae. The record is from RNAcentral.
CCGGCGAUUUCCGAAUGGGGAAACCCAGUGUGUUUCGACACACUAUCAUUAACUGAAUCCAUAGGUUAAUGAGGCGAACCGGGGGAACUGAAACAUCUAAGUACCCCGAGGAAAAGAAAUCAACCGAGAUUCCCCCAGUAGCGGCGAGCGAACGGGGAGGAGCCCAGAGCCUGAAUCAGUGUGUGUGUUAGUGGAAGCGUCUGGAAAGGCGCGCGAUACAGGGUGACAGCCCCGUACACAAAAAUGCACAUGCUGUGAGCUCGAUGAGUAGGGCGGGACACGUGGUAUCCUGUCUGAAUAUGGGGGGACCAUCCUCCAAGGCUAAAUACUCCUGACUGACCGAUAGUGAACCAGUACCGUGAGGGAAAGGCGAAAAGAACCCCGGCGAGGGGAGUGAAAAAGAACCUGAAACCGUGUACGUACAAGCAGUGGGAGCCUCUUAAUGGGGUGACUGCGUACCUUUUGUAUAAUGGGUCAGCGACUUAUAUUCUGUAGCAAGGUUAACCGAAUAGGGGAGCCGAAGGGAAACCGAGUCUUAACUGGGCGUUAAGUUGCAGGGUAUAGACCCGAAACCCGGUGAUCUAGCCAUGGGCAGGUUGAAGGUUGGGUAACACUAACUGGAGGACCGAACCGACUAAUGUUGAAAAAUUAGCGGAUGACUUGUGGCUGGGGGUGAAAGGCCAAUCAAACCGGGAGAUAGCUGGUUCUCCCCGAAAGCUAUUUAGGUAGCGCCUCGUGAAUUCAUCUCCGGGGGUAGAGCACUGUUUCGGCAAGGGGGUCAUCCCGACUUACCAACCCGAUGCAAACUGCGAAUACCGGAGAAUGUUAUCACGGGAGACACACGGCGGGUGCUAACGUCCGUCGUGAAGAGGGAAACAACCCAGACCGCCAGCUAAGGUCCCAAAGUCAUGGUUAAGUGGGAAACGAUGUGGGAAGGCCCAGACAGCCAGGAUGUUGGCUUAGAAGCAGCCAUCAUUUAAAGAAAGCGUAAUAGCUCACUGGUCGAGUCGGCCUGCGCGGAAGAUGUAACGGGGCUAAACCAUGCACCGAAGCUGCGGCAGCGACACUAUGUGUUGUUGGGUAGGGGAGCGUUCUGUAAGCCUGUGAAGGUGGCCUGUGAGGGUUGCUGGAGGUAUCAGAAGUGCGAAUGCUGACAUAAGUAACGAUAAAGCGGGUGAAAAGCCCGCUCGCCGGAAGACCAAGGGUUCCUGUCCAACGUUAAUCGGGGCAGGGUGAGUCGACCCCUAAGGCGAGGCCGAAAGGCGUAGUCGAUGGGAAACAGGUUAAUAUUCCUGUACUUGGUGUUACUGCGAAGGGGGGACGGAGAAGGCUAUGUUGGCCGGGCGACGGUUGUCCCGGUUUAAGCGUGUAGGCUGGUUUUCCAGGCAAAUCCGGAAAACCAAGGCUGAGGCGUGAUGACGAGGCACUACGGUGCUGAAGUGACAAAUGCCCUGCUUCCAGGAAAAGCCUCUAAGCAUCAGGUAACAUCAAAUCGUACCCCAAACCGACACAGGUGGUCAGGUAGAGAAUACCAAGGCGCUUGAGAGAACUCGGGUGAAGGAACUAGGCAAAAUGGUGCCGUAACUUCGGGAGAAGGCACGCUGAUAUGUAGGUGAAGCGACUUGCUCGUGGAGCUGAAAUCAGUCGAAGAUACCAGCUGGCUGCAACUGUUUAUUAAAAACACAGCACUGUGCAAACACGAAAGUGGACGUAUACGGUGUGACGCCUGCCCGGUGCCGGAAGGUUAAUUGAUGGGGUUAGCGGUAACGCGAAGCUCUUGAUCGAAGCCCCGGUAAACGGCGGCCGUAACUAUAACGGUCCUAAGGUAGCGAAAUUCCUUGUCGGGUAAGUUCCGACCUGCACGAAUGGCGUAAUGAUGGCCAGGCUGUCUCCACCCGAGACUCAGUGAAAUUGAACUCGCUGUGAAGAUGCAGUGUACCCGCGGCAAGACGGAAAGACCCCGUGAACCUUUACUAUAGCUUGACACUGAACAUUGAGCCUUGAUGUGUAGGAUAGGUGGGAGGCUUUGAAGUGUGGACGCCAGUCUGCAUGGAGCCGACCUUGAAAUACCACCCUUUAAUGUUUGAUGUUCUAACGUUGGCCCCUAAUCGGGGUUGCGGACAGUGUCUGGUGGGUAGUUUGACUGGGGCGGUCUCCUCCUAAAGAGUAACGGAGGAGCACGAAGGUUGGCUAAUCCUGGUCGGACAUCAGGAGGUUAGUGCAAUGGCAUAAGCCAGCUUGACUGCGAGCGUGACGGCGCGAGCAGGUGCGAAAGCAGGUCAUAGUGAUCCGGUGGUUCUGAAUGGAAGGGCCAUCGCUCAACGGAUAAAAGGUACUCCGGGGAUAACAGGCUGAUACCGCCCAAGAGUUCAUAUCGACGGCGGUGUUUGGCACCUCGAUGUCGGCUCAUCACAUCCUGGGGCUGAAGUAGGUCCCAAGGGUAUGGCUGUUCGCCAUUUAAAGUGGUACGCGAGCUGGGUUUAGAACGUCGUGAGACAGUUCGGUCCCUAUCUGCCGUGGGCGCUGGAGAACUGAGGGGGGCUGCUCCUAGU